Molecule: ribosomal RNA, 428 nt
Filed under: uncultured bacterium
Lineage: Bacteria
Description: bacterial SSU rRNA
Rfam family: Bacterial small subunit ribosomal RNA
Source: RNAcentral
UGAGGAAUAUUGCGCAAUGGGCGAAAGCCUGACGCAGCGACGCCGCGUGGAGGAUGAAGGUCUUCGGAUUGUAAACUCCUGUUAAGUGGGAAGAAAAGCUUAUCUCUAAUACAGGUAAGUAUGACGGUACCGCUAAAGAAAGCACCGGCUAACUUCGUGCCAGCAGCCGCGGUAAUACGAGGGGUGCAAACGUUAUUCGGAAUGACUGGGCGUAAAGGGUGCGUAGACGGCGCAUUAAGUUUGCUGUUAAAUUCUUCAGCCUAACUGAAGAUCAGCGGUGAAAACUGGUGUGCUAGAGGUUGGAAGAGAGAAGUGGAAUUCUCGGAGUAGCGGUAAAAUGCGUAGAUCUCGAGAGGAACACCGAUGGCGAAAGCAGCUUCUUGGUCCAAUCCUGACGUUGAGGCACGAAAGCGUGGGGAGCAAACAGG